Molecule: ribosomal RNA, 874 nt
Filed under: uncultured bacterium
Lineage: Bacteria
Description: bacterial SSU rRNA
Rfam family: Bacterial small subunit ribosomal RNA
Source: RNAcentral
GGCUCAGGACGAACGCUGGCGGCGUGCUUAACACAUGCAAGUCGAGGGGGCCCAGCAAUGGGUCACCGGCGAACGGGUGCGUAACACGUGAGCUACCUACCGAGUUGUGGGGAAUAGCCGGCCCAACGGCCGGGUAAUACCGCAUACGCUCUCUUUGGGGCAUCCUGAGGAGAGGAAACGCUUGCGGCAAUUCGAGGGGCUCGCGGCCUAUCAGCUAGUUGGUGAGGUAACGGCUCACCAAGGCGAUGACGGGUAGCUGGUCUGAGAGGAUGGCCAGCCACAUUGGGACUGAGAAACGGCCCAGACUCCUACGGGAGGCAGCAGUGGGGAAUCUUGCGCAAUGGGCGAAAGCCUGACGCAGCGACGCCGCGUGGGGGAGGAAGGUCUUCGGAUUGUAAACCCCUGUUGCCCGGGACGAAUGCCCUCUUUAGAGGGAGUGACGGUACCGGGUGAGGAAGCACCGGCUAACUCUGUGCCAGCAGCCGCGGUAAUACAGAGGGUGCGAGCGUUGUCCGGAAUCACUGGGCGUAAAGGGCGCGUAGGUGGCUUGCCAAGCGUGUGGUGAAAGCCCGGAGCUCAACUCCGGGUCUGCCAUGCGAACUGGCAGGCUUGAGCACGGUAGAGGCCAAUGGAAUUCCGGGUGUAGCGGUGGAAUGCGUAGAGAUCCGGAAGAACACCGGUGGCGAAGGCGGUUGGCUGGGCCGUAGCUGACACUGAGGCGCGACAGCGUGGGGAGCAAACAGGAUUAGAUACCCUGGUAGUCCACGCCGUAAACGAUGGGCACUAGGUCCUUGGGGGAGCGACCCCGUGAGGGCCGGCGCUAACGCAUUAAGUGCCCCGCCUGGGGAGUACGGCCGCAAGGCUGAAACUCAAA